RNAcentral lists this ribosomal RNA (253 nucleotides) under uncultured bacterium. RNAcentral's name for it is "partial 16S ribosomal RNA". It matches the Rfam family "Bacterial small subunit ribosomal RNA", at positions 524 to 776 of the family's 1533-position model. The record is from RNAcentral.
UACGUAGGCAGCGAGCGUUGUUCGGAAUUACUGGGCGUAAAGAGUGUGUAGGCGGUGCUCUAAGUUCGGUGUGAAAUCUCCUGGCUUAACUGGGAGGGUGCGCCGGAAACUGGAGUGCUCGAGCGUGGGAGAGGAAAGCGGAAUUCCUGGUGUAGCGGUGAAGUGCGUAGAUAUCAGGAGGAACACCUGUGGUGUAGACGGCUUUCUGGACCAUAGCUGACGCUGAGACACGAAAGCGUGGGUAGCAAACAGG